Molecule: long non-coding RNA, 254 nt
Filed under: Lynx canadensis (Canada lynx)
Lineage: Eukaryota; Metazoa; Chordata; Mammalia; Carnivora; Felidae
Description: lncRNA (ENSLCNG00005001984.1)
Source: RNAcentral
CGGCGACUGCACCUGCGCAAGGUCCCAGCUGUACUCAAGGAGUCCGUCAGGAGUUAAGGAUCCUGAAGCAGUAGCUGAAGGUCUGACUCGGGCCAGGUUUCAGUUGCUCGCUCUGAGCUGUCAGUGGUGGUAAAGCCUACAGGCCGCUUCCGGAGGCCUGCUGCCGGCCCUGGUCGUCCGCUCUGCCAUCACGCCCCCACUCUGGAUUUCCAGUUCUACAGCCAUGAAAUAAGAGCUGAGCCUGGGCCCAUCUC